GGGGAGGUGGCUCAGUGGUAGAGUGCUUGCCUUGCAUGCAUGAGGCCCUGAGGUUCAAUUCUUCAACACCACA
This is a non-coding RNA of Dipodomys ordii (Ord's kangaroo rat), 73 nucleotides long. The record is from Rfam. NCBI's taxonomy places the organism in Eukaryota, Metazoa, Chordata, Mammalia, Rodentia, Heteromyidae.